This 84-nucleotide ribosomal RNA is filed under the name Corynebacterium diphtheriae. Lineage: Bacteria; Bacillati; Actinomycetota; Actinomycetes; Mycobacteriales; Corynebacteriaceae. RNAcentral also lists the same sequence under 4 other names. The record is from RNAcentral.
CCCUUUCCGAACCCGGAAGCUAAGCCCGAUUGCGCUGAUGGUACUGCACCUGGGAGGGUGUGGGAGAGUAGGUCGCCGCCAACC